This 30-nucleotide non-coding RNA is filed under the name Rattus norvegicus (Norway rat). The record is from RNAcentral. Lineage: Eukaryota; Metazoa; Chordata; Mammalia; Rodentia; Muridae.
UCAGUGUCUAGUCAAAGAAUUAACACAUGC